ACACCGAUUGGAUUAGUUGGUUGAUACUAUUAAAUUCUCUAUCGGAGGAAAUAAAUAGUUUGCCAACUUGUGCUCAUAUAGAACCAUAGCCGUGUUAUAUUAAUUGUUGGAAAGAUUUCAAGCUAUUUACUUUCUUUUUAACAUUCUUUCAGAUCUUUCGACUUCUCUUGCUUUUCUUGUGUUUUUCUUUUCUUUUUAUUUGUGUUUAUCUUCUCUUGUUGUUUCAACCCUUUCUGGGAUUGUUUGAGAUGGAAGGAGGUGAUUUGAGAUGCUGGGAUGAACUAGUACCAGAUGCACUUGGGUUAAUCUUUAUCAAACUACCUCUGCAGGAUAUUCUGACUGUGAUUCCUAGAGUUUGUAAAUCAUGGGGAGAAGCCGUCGCUGAAUUACAAUACACCUCCAGGGCCGAUUAUAUAUUCAUAAUGUACGUUAGCUAAGAGGAGAGGUGUAAAACGUGCCGGCCCGGCACAGCCCAGCCCACGAAGUCACAUGCUCAUUGUGCUACAUGUUGUGUUGGGUUGUGCUAGAGAUUCAGACAUGUUGUGUUAUGUCAUACUAAAUGGCGUGAUGUGCUGGGCUGUGCCAGAAAAAUAAUCGUGUUGUGCCGUACUGGGCUGUGCUUGCCCACUUAUUUUAUGUUUUCUAAAGUAAAUAUUUUUCCAAUAUUUUAGUUCGUAUAUGUAUUAUUAUAGAAAUUCAUCAGCAUGACGAAAAUAAAAUAUCAAAAACUGACUAAAAUAAAGAUUUUUUUUUUAUGAAA
Long non-coding RNA from Papaver somniferum (opium poppy), 760 nucleotides. RefSeq lists it as uncharacterized. Lineage: Eukaryota; Viridiplantae; Streptophyta; Magnoliopsida; Ranunculales; Papaveraceae. The transcript has 2 exons. The record is from RefSeq and is a predicted model, not a curated record.